UUAAGGUGUUGUCAUUAGAACGUGGAAACAGUCAUCAUUCUCAUACAGCUGACAAUACGAGUCAACUGAAUCUUUGCGUGAUCCUGAUUAAUUGUAAAGUUGUGAUUUUUACCUGGGGUCAACUUGUACAACAAUUUAGUGUUAGUUAUUGUCUCAAAAGUAGCAUAUCGUCAUGUGAUUAGGAAAAAUGAUGAUACCUUUAUACAUUUCAAAUAAAUUUCCGCAAUGUAAUAUAUAUUAUAAAACAGCAAGAACUUUUUUCAUUCAUGUAUUGAAAUCCAUCAAACGGACACACUGUAUAAAAUGAAAAGUGAUCAAUUAGAACAGCUCACAAAUCAAUAAAACCAUGGAAGAUUCACCAAUGCACUGCUACCUAGAGACCGUAGUAGACAUGCAUCCCUGUCUUCAGCGCUGAUGGGCCUUUAUAUCCAUAUAUUCAACUCUGGUGUGUAUUUAUAUUCCAUUUGUCAAUUCUGGUGAGUAAAACUAUUUUCUCUCUCUAUGGAAUAGGCUGCUAUAAAGCAAAACAUCCUUUACGUAACUAUGUAAAAAGUUACACGUUUACUUGUUAUGUACAAGUUCACCUUUUGUUUGGUGUCUAUAAGGUAUGUGUUUAUGAUGGCGUAUUUUGUACGUCUGGAGAGAUGAGGGAUCGAAUAAAAAAUCACAUUAUUUUCAUGUUUAUUACACUUAUUACAAUGACGACAAUAAUCACAAACAUGUAAUACGGUAAGUUUUAAAUAUUAUUUUAUUAUUUAUUUCUAUUAUCGUAUUUGAACAUUUCAGGACAUCAGAAAAGAAGAAGAUGUGACUGUUGGGUAAACAAUGGCGUGGUCUGCUGUGGGUUUUUUCUUUGGAUCGGUGCCAGAUACUGACGGGCGGAUUAAAAUCCAGACACACAGAUGGGAUUCGAGCAUUCUACAUUCCGCACAUAAUUCAGAAGCUCUAUCCACUACGCCACUGGCGUUGAUGACAUCUGUUGAACAUAACCUGUUUGGAAGAUAUGAAAUCACUUCAAAUUCUGCUGGUUACACCAUCCCCAAAUAUAUUUCAAGGACAAUAUGUUGAGAAGGGUGUAUAAAUGAUGAAUACUGGAUAGCACGAGGUAAAUCGAGCACCAACUUAUGGAGGGAAAAUGGAUGUUUUAAAUUUUAAGAUUUUAUAUGAAACUGGCGAAAUGCUGAGGAUUUGAAUUAGAGACUAUCUUAAAACAUGUUAGAGUCAAAGAAUAUAAUUAUUUCUCGAGUUUCCUUUAUAUUUGGCCACUACUUUUCUGAUUAUGAAUUAUUUGUCUGAAAUUUUCUCGCG
Long non-coding RNA from Ostrea edulis (European flat oyster), 1308 nucleotides. RefSeq lists it as uncharacterized. The transcript has 3 exons. NCBI's taxonomy places the organism in Eukaryota, Metazoa, Mollusca, Bivalvia, Ostreida, Ostreidae. The record is from RefSeq and is a predicted model, not a curated record.